Xenopus laevis (African clawed frog) is the source of this 109-nucleotide small nuclear RNA. Lineage: Eukaryota; Metazoa; Chordata; Amphibia; Anura; Pipidae. The record is from RefSeq and is a predicted model, not a curated record.
GUGCUCCGGUUCGGCAGCACAUAUACUAAAAUUGGAACCGAUACAGGAGAAGAUUAGCAUGGCCCCUGCGCAGGGAUGGAACACGCAAAUCGUGAAGCUCCAUAUUUUG